AAACUUAAAGGAAUUGACGGGGACCCGCACAAGCGGUGGAUGAUGUGGAUUAAUUCGAUGCAACGCGAAAAACCUUACCUACCCUUGACAUGUCUGGAAUGCCGAAGAGAUUUGGCAGUGCUCGCAAGAGAACCGGAACACAGGUGCUGCAUGGCUGUCGUCAGCUCGUGUCGUGAGAUGUUGGGUUAAGUCCCGCAACGAGCGCAACCCUUGUCAUUAGUUGCUACGAAAGGGCACUCUAAUGAGACUGCCGGUGACAAACCGGAGGAAGGUGGGGAUGACGUCAAGUCCUCAUGGCCCUUAUGGGUAGGGCUUCACACGUCAUACAAUGGUCGGGACAGAGGGUUGCCAACCCGCGAGGGGGAGCUAAUCCCAGAAACCCGAUCGUAGUCCGGAUCGCAGUCUGCAACUCGACUGCGUGAAGUCGGAAUCGCUAGUAAUCGCGGAUCAGCAUGUCGCGGUGAAUACGUUCCCGGGUCUUGUACACACCGCCCGU
Molecule: ribosomal RNA, 496 nt
Filed under: Achromobacter xylosoxidans
Lineage: Bacteria; Pseudomonadati; Pseudomonadota; Betaproteobacteria; Burkholderiales; Alcaligenaceae
Description: bacterial SSU rRNA
Rfam family: Bacterial small subunit ribosomal RNA
Source: RNAcentral